GAAGGUGGCGGAAUUGGUAGACGCGCUAGCUUCAUGUGUUAGUGUCCUUACGGACGUGGGGGUUCAAGUCCCCCCCCUCGCACCA
Molecule: transfer RNA, 85 nt
Filed under: Acinetobacter baumannii
Lineage: Bacteria; Pseudomonadati; Pseudomonadota; Gammaproteobacteria; Moraxellales; Moraxellaceae
Description: tRNA-Met
Rfam family: tRNA
About the family: Transfer RNA (tRNA) molecules are approximately 80 nucleotides in length. Their secondary structure includes four short double-helical elements and three loops (D, anti-codon, and T loops).
Source: RNAcentral